GCGUGCUUAACACAUGCAAGUCGAACGGAAAGGCCCUGCUUUUGUGGGGUGCUCGAGUGGCGAACGGGUGAGUAACACGUGAGUAACCUGCCCUUGACUUUGGGAUAACUUCAGGAAACUGGGGCUAAUACCGGAUAGGAGCUCCUGCUGCAUGGUGGGGGUUGGAAAGUUUCGGCGGUUGGGGAUGGACUCGCGGCUUAUCAGCUUGUUGGUGGGGUAGUGGCUUACCAAGGCUUUGACGGGUAGCCGGCCUGAGAGGGUGACCGGCCACAUUGGGACUGAGAUACGGCCCAGACUCCUACGGGAGGCAGCAGUGGGGAAUAUUGCACAAUGGGCGGAAGCCUGAUGCAGCAACGCCGCGUGCGGGAUGACGGCCUUCGGGUUGUAAACCGCUUUCGCCUGUGACGAAGCGUGAGUGACGGUAAUGGGUAAAGAAGCACCGGCUAACUACGUGCCAGCAGCCGCGGUGAUACGUAGGGUGCGAGCGUUGUCCGGAUUUAUUGGGCGUAAAGGGCUCGUAGGUGGUUGAUCGCGUCGGAAGUGUAAUCUUGGGGCUUAACCCUGAGCGUGCUUUCGAUACGGGUUGACUUGAGGAANGUAGGGGAGAAUGGAAUUCCUGGUGGAACGGUGGAAUGCCAAAUAUCAGGAGGAACACCAGUGGCGAAGGCGGUUCUCUGGGCCUUU
This 684-nucleotide ribosomal RNA is filed under the name uncultured Propionibacterium sp. Its description in RNAcentral is "bacterial SSU rRNA". It matches the Rfam family "Bacterial small subunit ribosomal RNA", at positions 42 to 738 of the family's 1533-position model. The record is from RNAcentral. Lineage: Bacteria; Bacillati; Actinomycetota; Actinomycetes; Propionibacteriales; Propionibacteriaceae.